GACAACGCUGGCGGCGUGCUUAAUACAUGCAAGUUGAGCGGAGCCAUUGAUGAAGCUUGCGAUUCAAUGGUCGAGCGGCGGACGGGUGAGUAACGCGUGGGCAACCUGCCCUCUAGUCUGGGAUAACAGUUCGAAAGGGCUGCUAACACCGGAUAAGCUCACGGAGAGGCAUCUUUCAGUGAGAAAAGUUUACGCUAGAGGAUGGGCCCGCGUCCCAUUAGCUAGUUGGUGAGGUAACGGCUCACCAAGGCGCCGAUGGGUAGCCGACCUGAGAGGGUGACCGGCCACACUGGGACUGAGACACGGCCCAGACUCCUACGGGAGGCAGCAGUAGGGAAUUUUCCGCAAUGGGCGAAAGCCUGACGGAGCAACGCCGCGUGAGGGAAGAAGGUCUUCGGAUCGUAAACCUCUGUCUUCAGGGACGAUGAUGACGGUACCUGAGGAGGAAGCCACGGCUAACUACGUG
This 466-nucleotide ribosomal RNA is filed under the name uncultured bacterium. RNAcentral describes it as "bacterial SSU rRNA". It matches the Rfam family "Bacterial small subunit ribosomal RNA", at positions 32 to 507 of the family's 1533-position model. The record is from RNAcentral.